UUGUGUUUUAUUUUUUUAAGAGAUAAAACAAAUAGAAAUUGGAUUUUAUUUCUGGGUUUUUUGAGGAUUGCUACAACAUGGGUUGGUUGAGGUUUUGAGUAGUUAUGAAGCUUAUUUGCUGAUUUGACUCUGUCAAGAAAAACUGGUUUUGAUGAGUUCAUCUGAGUUUGGUGUUGAGAGUCCUUGUUUGUCUCAUCAAUCUUAUUUUUAAGUGCCCAUAAUGAUACUUGUUUUUAAUUAAUUAAUUUAAAUUUGUUUAGAUCUCUGUUUAUGUAUCUGUUAACCAGUUUCAUUUCCCUGAUACAAAGAGUUCUUGUAGAAAACUGAUUUUAUCUUUUAAAAAUGAAGAUUCCAUGUCUUGUAGCUGAAUUGAGUCGAGAAGUUUCACAAUUUUGUGUCUUUCUAGCACUUAAUUUUAACGAGUCACCCCUAGAUCUGCUAUGUCAAGAUGGAAGUCUCACACCAUAGAUUUGCAAGCAUCCAUCUUGAUCCUUGCUUGAGCAUAUUAGAGUUUGAAAAUUAUGAAGUUCAGAAAAGGGAACUUGGUGGAGGUUUUAAGAAAAGAACAUGAUCCGUGUGGCUCCUGGUUUACUGGUAAUAUACUUUCAUCAGAUGGUGACAACUAUAUUGUUAGGUACAAACUGCUUAUGGACCAAGAAAGAAAACAAGUGGUGGAGAAGGUGAAGGGGAAGGAUGUUAGACCCCUGCCUCCAAGUGUAAAUGGGAAGAGUUGGGCAGUUGGUGAUAUGGCUGAGGUGUUUGAUAUUCAGUGUUGGAAGGUGGGAAAGGUCGCAAAGGUGUCAAAGAACAAUGAUCGAUUUGUCAUUAAGUUCUUUGGGUCCAUCCAACUUAAGGAAUUUCAUGCAUCAUGUUUAAGGAUUAGGCAGGCUUGGCAUGGCAAUAAGUGGAUGAUGAUUGGGAAGGUUGCCAAGGGUAAAGACUUAGCCAACAAUUUUACACCAAAAAUUCCAUACCAUGCUGGUGGCUUGCUUUUGAAGACUUCAUUACAUAGAAGCAAAACUUUACUAUCUGGAAGGAAGUAUAGAGUGGGACAACAUGACGGUGGGGCUGAUAAUGUCACCAAGUGUCUGUGCAUGAGAGCCAUAAGUAGAGGCCAUGCCCAUCAAUCUGAAGACUGCAAUAUGGAUCCGCUCUUUGGAGGAACCCUCAAGAAAAGGAAAUCACCUCCUUGUUCUAGAGGCUGUGAUGAAACUCUUAAGGGAGCACUUCCUUUGUUUAAACAGGUAGAUGAUAUUUCUUGCCCACAUAUAGGGGUUGAUGAAAAAUUCAUUAAGCAUUCAACUAACAGGAAUAACAGAAUGGAAGACAAAACUCCUCACUGUUUAUUUGAUUCUUCUAGGCCUGUUUGGUCUACUGAAGUUAGUGACCAAUGCUCAGUUGCUAGCUGUAGUUAUAACGGUGUUGCUAACUAUGCUGGCCAAAUUUCUCAUAAAUCAUCAGAAAAUACACCUGAUAAUUCUGAUGCUGAAUCCUCAUUCCCUUCUUUGUGUGGCCAAAGAGACUUACGCUUGUCCCCUGUUGACAUAGUUGUCGAUGUCCAUGAACUAGAACUUCAUGCUUACAAGUCAACCGUGGAGGCAUUGUAUGCUUCAGGUCCUUUAACUUGGGAGCAGGAGUCCUUGUUAACAAAUCUCCGCCUCUCCCUUAACAUUUCAGAUGAGGAGCACCUACUCCAGCUGAGACACCUUUUGUCUGCUCAAGUUCUGUGAUGUUGUUUAUGUCUCUGUUUCUUGCCAAGUGAAUGGAUUUAAUUGGUUUGAGGCUUAACCGCUCAACCAUGGAGAGUGUUGAGAUCUGUGAGCUAUUGCAGCUAAAUCUCUUGCAGGUGGCAUCUUAUGACCUUAACCUUCCGAGUGUAUAUAACGUGUAAAUUAUUUUGAGGAAUUGAGUUUUACUUGUUGAUGCUUUAGAGCCAAUAACAGCAAUUCACGUCUCAUAAAGCUUGCUGAUGCCCGAAAGCCUGAUGCAUAUAGAAGUAAUCAUUACAGUGCUCCAGCUGUGAUGCUUUCUUAACUUUCGUGCGAGAGGAAAGCAGCUUCUACUGAAAUAACUACAUAAAUAUGAGUUGAAAGUUAAUACCAUGGAUUUUCAUUUCAUGAAUAGAUUUCAGAGAUGCAUUCAUUUACACCCAUAUCAUCGUUUUGCUAAUUCCUCACGGUAAUUGUAUGAUUUUGCAAACCCUCUUUUGGCCUUUCAUUAUUUGGCUCUUAUGGAGAGAAAUGUAAAAUGUGGAAAUAACUCGGGGAAGCGGCUACACCCCAAAACGGAAAUAGAAGGGCAAAACAAGCACAACCAUGAUCUGUUUGGAAGCGCUCAUAUCUGCAGUAGAUGAUGUAUCUGAUAUACAAAUUUCACCCGAACAUAAAAAGUAAAUUGUACAUUCAAUUUGAGCUAUCCAAAAAUUUUGUUAUUGCACACUGUGGAAACUGUCAAUUGAAUAUUUGUUAAGAUAA
Non-coding RNA from Durio zibethinus, 2474 nucleotides. The record is from RefSeq and is a predicted model, not a curated record. Lineage: Eukaryota; Viridiplantae; Streptophyta; Magnoliopsida; Malvales; Malvaceae.